This 396-nucleotide ribosomal RNA is filed under the name uncultured bacterium. RNAcentral describes it as "bacterial SSU rRNA". It matches the Rfam family "Bacterial small subunit ribosomal RNA", at positions 357 to 771 of the family's 1533-position model. The record is from RNAcentral.
GGGAAUAUUUCACAAUGGGCGAAAGCCUGAUGCAGCAACGCCGCGUGAGCGAUGAAGGCCUUCGGGUCGUAAAGCUCUGUCCUCAAGGAAGAUAAUGACGGUACUUGAGGAGGAAGCCCCGGCUAACUACGUGCCAGCAGCCGCGGUAAUACGUAGGGGGCUAGCGUUAUCCGGAAUUACUGGGCGUAAAGGGUGCGUAGGUGGUUUCUUAAGUCAGAGGUGAAAGGCUACGGCUCAACCGUAGUAAGCCUUUGAAACUGGGGAACUUGAGUGCAGGAGAGGAGAGUGGAAUUCCUAGUGUAGCGGUGAAAUGCGUAGAUAUUCGGAAGAACACCAGUGGCGAAGGCGGCUCACUGGACUGGUAUUGACGCUGAGGUGCGAAAGCGUGGGGAGCAA